Molecule: long non-coding RNA, 432 nt
Organism: Suricata suricatta (meerkat)
Lineage: Eukaryota; Metazoa; Chordata; Mammalia; Carnivora; Herpestidae
Exons: 3
Source: RefSeq, a predicted model, not a curated record
AUUCUCCACAAAAACACUGGUGGCUCUGCUAUUGCUUUCCCAUUUGCUGAGCACAUUUAGAAAUACCUGUAGACUGGCCCAGAAGAUGGAGUCUGUCCGGUUUAAGUUAAGGAGCUUCACAGAAGACAGUCUCACAACUUCCCUUUUGAUACUAUUUUGCCCACAGAGCUGGUCAUUCUUUAUUUUCAGUCCAUCAGUGACAUUUACCAAACCAUCACGGGUAAUGGAAAAUACAAGACUUAAAAGAAGAUUCAAAAGAAACGUUACAUGCCUUCUCUUGCAGAUUCUUUAAUUUGUGGAGAAAGAAGACAGUCCUACAGAAAGCAAGCAAUGUGGAUAUGUAGGUUCAGGUAUUUGGUUUAGUUUAGCAGCUUUUAACAUAUGCUAUUAUGAAAUAGAGCUAUUAUGAAAUUUUAUAUACACGUGGAAUAA